UCGCUACUACCGAUUGAAUGGCUUAGUGAGCUCCAUGAACUGUGGGUAUGUGGGGGGUCUCCUCUACUACUUUCGGGAAGUGGAUCAAACUUGAUCAUUUAGAGGAAGUAA
Molecule: ribosomal RNA, 111 nt
Filed under: uncultured eukaryote
Lineage: Eukaryota
Description: partial small subunit ribosomal RNA
Rfam family: Eukaryotic small subunit ribosomal RNA
Source: RNAcentral